AACGUAGGGGACGAGCGUUAUCCGGAUUUACUGGGCGUAAAGCGCCCGUAGGCGGCUUUUUAAGUUGGACGUGAAAGCUCCCGGCUUAACUGGGAGAGGCCGUUCAAAACUGAGAGGCUAGAGUGAGGCAGAGGAGCGCGGAAUUCCCGGUGUAGUGGUGGAAUGCGUAGAUAUCGGGAGGAACACCAGUGGCGAAAGCGGCGCUCUGGGCCUAAACUGACGCUGAGGGGCGAAAGCGUGGGGAGCAAACAGG
RNAcentral lists this ribosomal RNA (253 nucleotides) under uncultured bacterium. RNAcentral describes it as "partial 16S ribosomal RNA". It matches the Rfam family "Bacterial small subunit ribosomal RNA", at positions 524 to 776 of the family's 1533-position model. The record is from RNAcentral.